RNAcentral lists this long non-coding RNA (1400 nucleotides) under Homo sapiens (human). RNAcentral's name for it is "HSALNT0107236". Lineage: Eukaryota; Metazoa; Chordata; Mammalia; Primates; Hominidae. The record is from RNAcentral.
GAUUUGUGUGUCUGCUUUUCUUUGCUCUCUGCUCUUUAUUGGUUGCUCCUAGGCUGGAAAAGAGAUGUAACCUCAGGAAGCAGGUAAUUUAUUACAGAGAUCUGGCAAGGCUUCACAGUGAAUGAAGCCUGGUGGUGCUACAGCGGGUGACAAAGGCAAACCGGAUCCUGUAUUUAAACAAAACUGAAGGAAGUGCAGAGAGCCCGCGUUUGGCUCUCCGCGAGGUCUCCAUAUGCUGGCCCUCCCGUGCACACACUGGGGAGCAUUGUUCACAGUUUGAGAGUCAUCGCUGCAGCCUGCACUGACGUGAGUCUCCACCAUCAGCUAAGAGGAACACUGGUCUCCCACACAGCAGCCAAAUCCAAGAUCAGUGCUUCCCAGGGAGCACUAGAAACCAAACAUAACAACAAGAAAUGACUUUCCAAACACCCUUUCACAGAGAAAAAUAGAGAGUACAAACAAUAUUUUCAUCAUUAGUAGUUAUAAAAUAUUCAUGAUGUUCUAGGGAGAUAAAAGGUAAGGAUAUCUCACCCCUCACCCAUCCCCACCUACCUUGACCCAUCCUUCCCAACCUCACCUGUAAAAGAGUUCAAAUUGGACUUGUAUAAAUUCCCCCAAAGAGUGUACCUACUUCUGAAAUACAGAGGAAGGAAUGUUCUUCAUUCUUACCUUCUGUUAAGGAGUUAAGAGAAGGUAGUACUAUUUACUAAGUUCCUGGCAUAUACCAAGACAUUUUCUUUUUUUCUGUUUUUUGUUUGUUUGUUUUUGUUUUUUGUUUUUUGAGACAGGUCUCCCUCUGUCACCCAGCCUGGAGUGCUGUGAUGCAAUCAUAGCUCAUUGCAGCCUACAACUCCUAGGCUCAAGUGAUCCUCCUGCCUCAGCCUCCCACGCAGCUGGGACUACAGGUGGAUCACCACGCCCAGCUAAUUUUUUUUUUUUCUUGGUAGAGACAGUUGCCCAGGCUGCUCUUGAACUCCUGGCCUCAAAGGAUCCUCCAGACUUGGCAUCCCAAAGUGCUGGGAUUACAGACAUGAGACAUUUUCACAGACAGUAUUUAAUCCUUUUUAUGACACUUUGAGAUAGGUAUUCUUAUGCCUAUCGAUGUGGAAACUGAGGGUCAGAAAGAUUAAGAAACUUAUUCAUGGCCAUGCACAGUAGUCAUGCCUAUAGUCCCAGUGAGAGGUGAAGCUGGCUGGGCUUCUGGGUGGGGUGGGGACGUGGAGAACUUUUCUGUGUAGCUAAAGGUUUGUAAACACACCAAUCAGCACUCUGUAAAAUGCCCCAAGUGGGCGGAUCAUGAGGUCAGGAGAUCGAGACCAUCCUGGCAACACGGUGAAACCCCGUCUCUACUAAAAAUAUUAAAAAAAAUAGCCGGACGUGGUGGCAGGCGCCUGUAGUCC